This is a long non-coding RNA of Patella vulgata (common limpet), 340 nucleotides long. RefSeq lists it as uncharacterized. Lineage: Eukaryota; Metazoa; Mollusca; Gastropoda; Patellidae. The record is from RefSeq and is a predicted model, not a curated record. The transcript is spliced from 3 exons.
AACAAGUUUACAGGAUUUAACACCUGGUUCUACACUGAACACAGUUGUUAAGAAACAUAAAUGGUGUAAAGAUGUUCUGGCUAUCUCAAACAAAUUUAUUCUUCGUCCCGAAUAUGCACCGGAAGAAACAACAGGUGGUCAAGGUGUUGAUGGUGUUGGUGUAGGGAACAACGUCACUAUAACAAAGACAAUAUAUGCAUAUCCAGUUCCUAUCAUUGUACAUGGUUCUAUUAAAGCACCAAAUGGAACUGAUAGAGACCAUAUCAAUUUUAAUCUAAUAAACACAAGUAAAUCCCACCAUUACAAAGUAGAACUAAGAGUUGAUGUUCAUUGCACAGAA